GCCCGUGUGGCGCAAUUGGUUAGCGCGUCAGACUUUUAAGACACCACAAAAGUCGAAUGAAAUCUGAAUGUUGCGAGUUCGAGUCUCGCCAUGGGCG
Podospora fimiseda is the source of this 97-nucleotide non-coding RNA. NCBI's taxonomy places the organism in Eukaryota, Fungi, Ascomycota, Sordariomycetes, Sordariales, Podosporaceae. The record is from the annotation of a GenBank genome assembly.